AGAACGAACGUUGGCGGCGUGGAUUAGGCAUGCAAGUCGAACGAAUCCCCGUGGGGGUAACUCUGCGGGGGGAAGUGGCGAACGGGGCAGUAAGGCGUGGGUAACCUACCCUGGGGACGGGGAUAGCCUUCCUAACGGAAGGGUAAUACCCGGCGACGUAGCGAGGGCGCAUGCCCUUGUUACCAAAUGAGUUUCGCCCUGGGAGGGGCUCACGUGGUAUUAGCUGGACGGCGGGGUAACGGCCCACCGUGGCCAAGAUGCCUAGCAGGUGUGAGAGCACGACCUGCGCCACUGGCACUGUGACACUGGCCAGACUCCUACGGGAGGCUGCAGUCGAGGAUCUUCGGCAAUGGGCGCAAGCCUGACCGAGCGACGCCGCGUGUGCGAUGAAGGCCUUCGGGUUGUAAGCACUGUCGAGGGAAGAAGCCGCGAAGGGUUGAGUCGACCCUGGAGGAAGCGACGGGCUAAGUUCGUGCCAGCAGCCGC
This 486-nucleotide ribosomal RNA is filed under the name uncultured bacterium. Its description in RNAcentral is "SSU rRNA". It matches the Rfam family "Bacterial small subunit ribosomal RNA", at positions 26 to 518 of the family's 1533-position model. The record is from RNAcentral.